Oxyura jamaicensis (ruddy duck) is the source of this 496-nucleotide long non-coding RNA. RefSeq lists it as uncharacterized. NCBI's taxonomy places the organism in Eukaryota, Metazoa, Chordata, Aves, Anseriformes, Anatidae. The record is from RefSeq and is a predicted model, not a curated record. The transcript has 3 exons.
ACUAGUAUAUCAGAAGAGUCCCAAGAACCCAGAAAAAACAAGAUAAUGCACAUUAUUUAUUCUUCAGUAUCCGUGGGUCUAUGUUGUCCAUUCAUCUUCAUAUGCAUGUUUUCAUGUCUCAGAAGGUACCAUGCAAAGCAAAAGAGAACUCCAUUAACGCCACAGAGACUAGAGAGCCUGGUCAGAAGUCCAGCAGCUGUUCCAUCCCACACUGCUGGGACAACUCAAGCUUCAGAUGAAAGCUCUUUGCUUUACUGCUCCAUGGCUAGCCCACAGCAGCUCUUGCAUUCCAACACAAUUUAUGACAACGAUGUUCCUCACUGGAAUGCUAAGAGGACAGCACCUAAUUCACCUAAUGAUCCUUCCAUCCCAGCUUCACCUGAAAGCCCAGAUGUCCUCAUAUAUGCUACACUAAAUCAUUCUGCUUCUGCAGAAAAAUGCCAGAGAAGGGAACUGUCUGUAGAAAAUGAAUUUACAGAAUAUGCCUCCAUUAAUG